UCCUCCGCUUAUUGAUAUGCUUAAGUUCAGCGGGUACUCCUACCUGAUCCGAGGUCAACCUUGGAAGAAUUGACCUUCAGAGGCUAUGGCCCCGGCCGGACCCCUCCUUGAGCGCGUGACAGAGCCCCAUACGCUCGAGGACCGGACGCGACGCCGCCGCUGCCUUUCAGGCCCGUCCCCUCCAAACGAGGGGACGGCGGCCCAACACACAAGCCGUGCUUGAGGGUUCGCAAUGACGCUCGGACAGGCAUGCCCCCCGGAAUACCAGAGGGCGCAAUGUGCGUUCAAAGAUUCGAUGAUUCACGGAAUUCUGCAAUUCACAUUACUUAUCGCAUUUCGCUGCGUUCUUCAUCGAUGCCGGAACCAAGAGAUCCAUUGUUGAAAGUUUUGAACGAUUGCAUUUCGUCACUCAGACAAUCCUCGCAUUCACAAAAGCGUUCACAGUGAGUGCCUCUGGCGGGCACGGGCCCCGGGGGCACACCGCGCCCCGGGACGACCCCCCCGGCGGAACACCGGAGGAGUGGGCCCGCCAAAGCAACACUAGGUGUGGUAGACACGGGUGGGAGAUUGGGACCCGACUGGGUUCCCGCACUCGGUAAUGAUCCUUCCGCAAGGUUCACCCUACGGA
RNAcentral lists this unclassified non-coding RNA (628 nucleotides) under Thermomyces sp. FLN3f. Its description in RNAcentral is "sequence contains 18S rRNA gene, ITS1, 5.8S rRNA gene, ITS2 and 28S rRNA gene". The record is from RNAcentral. Lineage: Eukaryota; Fungi; Ascomycota; Eurotiomycetes; Eurotiales; Trichocomaceae.